GACGGCAGGUAUCUUACGUGGGAUUUACGAUCCGACGGGUCGGAACGCAGCUCGGGAACAGAAAGAAAGCAGGUUAUUUGCAAUCUACCGGAGCUUAAGGGCAGAAGGCAGGUAUCUUACGUGGGAUUUAUGAUCCGACGGGUCCGAACGCAGCUCGGGAACAGAAAGAAAGCAGGUUGUUUGCAAUCUACCGGAGCUUAAGGGCAGAAGGCAGGUACCUUACGUGGGAUUUAUGAUCCGACGGGUCCGAACGCAGCUCGGGAACAGAAAGAAAGCAGGUUGUUUGCAAUCUACCGGAGCUUAAGGGCAGAAGGCAGGUACCUUGCGUGGGAUUUACAGUCCGACAGGGUCCAAAUGCCGCUCGGGAACAGAAAGAAAGCAGGUUAUUUGCAAUGUACCAGAGCUUAAGGGCAGAAGGCAGGACCCCCAUCAUUAAUCCUAAGAUCCUUAGGACCCACCUGGAGGACUCUGGGUAUUAGGUGUCCAAGAAGAAUGUUCAAAUCUUCCGACGGCAGGUGCAUGAGAGUCUGCAUGAAACCCUAAUAAAAAAGACAGUGAAGGAGAAUCAUGUCAGGAGCUGAUACUCAUGAGUCUCGGGAAGCCUCCAGGGACAGAGCACAACUAGAGCAUCCAAGAAUGAGAAGAGCCCUAGAGCAAACGCAAGGCCCAGGAAGAGAUAAUUCGUUUGAGAAGAAAAGGGUCCAGGAGCUAUUGCAACCCAGCUAGCAAGCAGAGUCCUGGGCUGAUCAGAGUGGGGAAAACCCACCGAGUUGUUCAAUGGCAGGACAAACAGAGCCCUGCUGCAGGGAGGGGACACUCAUCUACCCUGUACCCCCAUACACCUCUGUCUCGCUCCCCGUUCAGGUUGACAAUGUGCUCACCACACAGCAGCACCUCCUGGUCUUGAUUGUUGGGGCCCUCGCAAUCAUUGCACUGGCCCUUCCUGCCCUCUGACCAGAGCUCUUCCCUGCUACACUCUUCUGUGAGUCUCCAGCAGGACCUUUUGCACAUCAGCAAGCUGGGCAGCGUCAAGUGCCCGGAAUCCACCCCAUGCCUUCCCACCUCUGUACAUUUGCUCAUGGUUCAUUUCAUGGCCAUUGAACUUGUCUUGGUCAGUUUUCUUUCAGCUCUCAGUGAUAGACACAUUCCACAACGACCUACAGAGAAAAAAAAAGGCACAAAUUGUAUAGCAAACCACUACCUCUACUAAAGUAACCUAUUGUUCUUUAGAACUGAAGA
Gorilla gorilla gorilla (western lowland gorilla) is the source of this 1239-nucleotide long non-coding RNA. RefSeq lists it as uncharacterized. The record is from RefSeq and is a predicted model, not a curated record. The transcript has 5 exons. Lineage: Eukaryota; Metazoa; Chordata; Mammalia; Primates; Hominidae.